GGGUUGUGAGGUUAAGCGACUAAGCGUACACGGUGGAUGCCCUGGCAGUCAGAGGCGAUGAAGGGCGUGCUAAUCUGCGAUAAGCGCCGGUAAGGUGAUAUGAACCGUUAUAACCGGCGAUACCCGAAUGGGGAAACCCAGUGUGAUUCGUCACACUAUCAUUAACUGAAUCCAUAGGUUAAUGAGGCGAACCGGGGGAACUGAAACAUCUAAGUACCCCGAGGAAAAGAAAUCAACCGAGAUUCCCCCAGUAGCGGCGAGCGAACGGGGAGGAGCCCAGAGCCUGAAUCAGCAUGUGUGUUAGUGGAAGCGUCUGGAAAGGCGCGCGAUACAGGGUGACAGCCCCGUACACAAAAGCGCAUGUGCUGUGAGCUCGAUGAGUAGGGCGGGACACGUGGUAUCCUGUCUGAAUAUGGGGGGACCAUCCUCCAAGGCUAAAUACUCCUGACUGACCGAUAGUGAACCAGUACCGUGAGGGAAAGGCGAAAAGAACCCCGGCGAGGGGAGUGAAAAAGAACCUGAAACCGUGUACGUACAAGCAGUGGGAGCACAGGUUUACCUGUGUGACUGCGUACCUUUUGUAUAAUGGGUCAGCGACUUAUAUUCUGUAGCAAGGUUAACCGAAUAGGGGAGCCGGAGGGAAACCGAGUCUUAACCGGGCGUUAAGUUGCAGGGUAUAGACCCGAAACCCGGUGAUCUAGCCAUGGGCAGGUUGAAGGUUGGGUAACACUAACUGGAGGACCGAACCGACUAAUGUUGAAAAAUUAGCGGAUGACCUGUGGCUGGGGGUGAAAGGCCAAUCAAACCGGGAGAUAGCUGGUUCUCCCCGAAAGCUAUUUAGGUAGCGCCUCGUGAAUUCAUCUCCGGGGGUAGAGCACUGUUUCGGCUAGGGGGCCAUCCCGGCUUACCAACCCGAUGCAAACUGCGAAUACCGGAGAAUGUUAUCACGGGAGACACACGGCGGGUGCUAACGUCCGUCGUGAAGAGGGAAACAACCCAGACCGCCAGCUAAGGUCCCAAAGUCAUGGUUAAGUGGGAAACGAUGUGGGAAGGCCCAGACAGCCAGGAUGUUGGCUUAGAAGCAGCCAUCAUUUAAAGAAAGCGUAAUAGCUCACUGGUCGAGUCGGCCUGCGCGGAAGAUGUAACGGGGCUAAACCAUGCACCGAAGCUGCGGCAGCGAACGUAUCACCCAAGACAACUUUGCGGAGUUGACGAUUGACGGAGCGAAGCGACGUCAAAGCGUUCAUUAAAGUCGAGUUGGCUUAGGGAUACGUUCGUUGGGUAGGGGAGCGUUCUGUAAGCCUGUGAAGGUGGCCUGUGAGGGUUGCUGGAGGUAUCAGAAGUGCGAAUGCUGACAUAAGUAACGAUAAAGCGGGUGAAAAGCCCGCUCGCCGGAAGACCAAGGGUUCCUGUCCAACGUUAAUCGGGGCAGGGUGAGUCGACCCCUAAGGCGAGGCCGAAAGGCGUAGUCGAUGGGAAACGGGUUAAUAUUCCCGUACUUGGUGUUACUGCGAAGGGGGGACGGAGAAGGCUAUGUUGGCCGGGCGACGGUUGUCCCGGUUUAAGCGUGUAGGUGUGUGUUCCAGGUAAAUCCGGUUCACUUUAACACUGAGGCGUGACGACGAGGCACUACGGUGCUGAAGCAACAAAUGCCCUGCUUCCAGGAAAAGCCUCUAAGCAUCAGGUAACAUCAAAUCGUACCCCAAACCGACACAGGUGGUCAGGUAGAGAAUACCAAGGCGCUUGAGAGAACUCGGGUGAAGGAACUAGGCAAAAUGGUGCCGUAACUUCGGGAGAAGGCACGCUGACACGUAGGUGAAGUGAUUUACUCAUGGAGCUGAAGUCAGUCGAAGAUACCAGCUGGCUGCAACUGUUUAUUAAAAACACAGCACUGUGCAAACACGAAAGUGGACGUAUACGGUGUGACGCCUGCCCGGUGCCGGAAGGUUAAUUGAUGGGGUCAGCGCAAGCGAAGCUCCUGAUCGAAGCCCCGGUAAACGGCGGCCGUAACUAUAACGGUCCUAAGGUAGCGAAAUUCCUUGUCGGGUAAGUUCCGACCUGCACGAAUGGCGUAAU
Molecule: ribosomal RNA, 2076 nt
Filed under: Salmonella enterica subsp. enterica serovar Virginia str. SA19971529
Lineage: Bacteria; Pseudomonadati; Pseudomonadota; Gammaproteobacteria; Enterobacterales; Enterobacteriaceae
Description: bacterial LSU rRNA
Rfam family: Bacterial large subunit ribosomal RNA
Source: RNAcentral